RNAcentral lists this non-coding RNA (126 nucleotides) under Heterosigma akashiwo. Lineage: Eukaryota; Raphidophyceae; Chattonellales; Chattonellaceae. The record is from RNAcentral.
AACCAGCAAAAAUUGCUGGGGUGUUCUCUCUAAAAAAAACAACGUGAGACAAGAAUAGUAAGUGCAUCAUCAUGUUGAUUUUUUUUAUGUAUAUUGUUGUUGAUGCGGGUGAUAAUUAGUAAGAAG